RNAcentral lists this transfer RNA (64 nucleotides) under Rugitermes sp. A TB-2014. Its description in RNAcentral is "tRNA-Ala". RNAcentral also lists the same sequence under 1 other name. The record is from RNAcentral. Lineage: Eukaryota; Metazoa; Arthropoda; Insecta; Blattodea; Kalotermitidae.
GGGUUUGUAGUUAACAAUAACAUCUGAAUUGCAUUCAGAAAGUACUCCACAGAAGUCUACCUCA